AUUAAUAUAGUUUAAAAAAAACAUUAUAUUUUCAAUAUAAAAAUAAUUAAAUUUAAUUUAUAAAUA
RNAcentral lists this transfer RNA (66 nucleotides) under Apis mellifera capensis (Cape honeybee). RNAcentral's name for it is "tRNA-Glu". Lineage: Eukaryota; Metazoa; Arthropoda; Insecta; Hymenoptera; Apidae. The record is from RNAcentral.